UCGCUUUCGCAGCAUAUGUACUAAAAUUAGAAUGAUACAGAGAAGAUUAGAAUGGCCCUUGUGCAAAGACUAAACUGAAAUUCUUUAAACAUUACAUAUAAAA
Molecule: small nuclear RNA, 103 nt
Organism: Prolemur simus (greater bamboo lemur)
Lineage: Eukaryota; Metazoa; Chordata; Mammalia; Primates; Lemuridae
Source: Ensembl